Molecule: microRNA precursor, 166 nt
Organism: Eutrema salsugineum
Lineage: Eukaryota; Viridiplantae; Streptophyta; Magnoliopsida; Brassicales; Brassicaceae
Source: Rfam
GAGAGAAGAACAUAUAAAGAUAGCCAAGGAGACUGCCUAAUGUCUUUCUAUAAGCAAAAUGGUCACUAAUUGAUGUAAACCAUAUUCACUAUUCAAACAUAAGACCGACCAUUUUACUUCUCAAAGAAGUAGGCAAGUCAUCCUUGGCUACCAAAUAUGAUUCUCC